RNAcentral lists this ribosomal RNA (319 nucleotides) under uncultured eukaryote. RNAcentral's name for it is "partial 18S ribosomal RNA". It matches the Rfam family "Eukaryotic small subunit ribosomal RNA", at positions 1470 to 1796 of the family's 1831-position model. The record is from RNAcentral.
CCCUUAGAUGUUCUGGGCUGCACGCGUGCUACAAUGGCGUUUCCAGCAAGUCUGCGAACCCGAGAGGGCCAGCGGAUCUUCGAAUUGGCGUCGUGAUCGAGACAGUCGAUUGCAAUUAUUUGACUCAAACGAGGAAUUCCUUGUAAUCGCGAUUCAUCAUAUCGCGCUGAAUACGUCCCUGCCCUUUGUACACACCGCCCGUCGCUCCUACCGAUUGAGCGAUCCGGUAAAUGUUUUGGAUUGGUGCCGGGGCGGCUAGCUGCCGGUCGCUACGAAAUUUUGUGAACCUUAUCGCUUAGAGGAAGGAAAAGUCGUAACA